This 853-nucleotide ribosomal RNA is filed under the name Ascosacculus heteroguttulatus. Its description in RNAcentral is "eukaryotic LSU rRNA". It matches the Rfam family "Eukaryotic large subunit ribosomal RNA", at positions 55 to 950 of the family's 3401-position model. Lineage: Eukaryota; Fungi; Ascomycota; Sordariomycetes; Microascales; Halosphaeriaceae. The record is from RNAcentral.
GGAAAAGAACCCAACAGGGAUUGCCCUAGUAACGGCGAGUGAAGCGGCAACAGCUCAAAUUUGAAAUCUGGCGCUCCGCGUCCGAGUUGUAAUUUGCAGAGGAUGCUUCCUGCGCGGUGCCUUCCGAGUUCCCUGGAACGGGACGCCAUAGAGGGUGAGAGCCCCGUACGGUCGGUAACCAAGCUCUGUGUAGCACCUUCGACGAGUCGAGUAGUUUGGGAAUGCUGCUCUAAAUGGGAGGUAAACUCCUUCUAAAGCUAAAUAUUGGCCAGAGACCGAUAGCGCACAAGUAGAGUGAUCGAAAGAUGAAAAGCACUUUGAAAAGAGAGUCAAAUAGCACGUGAAAUUGUUGAAAGGGAAGCGCUUGUGACCAGACUUGGGCCUGGUAGUUCAGCCGUCCUUCUGGGCGGUGCACUCUGCCGGUUCAGGCCAGCAUCAGUUGCCGGUCGGGGAGAAAGACAGUGGGAACGUGGCUCUUCGGAGUGUUAUAGCCCGCUGUUAUGCCUUUCCGGCGACUGAGGUUAGCGCAUCUGCACGGAUGCUGGCGUAAUGGUCAUCAGCGACCCGUCUUGAAACACGGACCAAGGAGUCAUCCUGGCAUGCGAGUGUUCGGUGUUAAACCCUUACCGUAAUGAAAGUGAACGGAGGUGAGAGCUUCGCGCAUCAUCGACCGAUCCUGAUGUUCUCGGAUGGAUUUGAGUAAAGCAUGUCGGGCUGGUCCCGAAAGAAAGCGAACUAUGCUUGGAUAGGGCAAACCCAGAGGAAACUUUUGGUGGAGCUCCCAGCGGUUCUUACGUGCCAAUCGAUCGUCAAAUCUGACAUUGGGGCGAAAGACUAUCGACCCUUCUAAUAG